GGGGCUGUGGGGUAGCUUGGCCAUCCUUUCUGGUUUGGGACCAGAAGACCCCGGUUCGAAUCCGGGCAGCCCCA
This 74-nucleotide transfer RNA is filed under the name Candidatus Woesearchaeota archaeon. RNAcentral describes it as "tRNA-Pro". It matches the Rfam family "tRNA". From Rfam's summary of the family: Transfer RNA (tRNA) molecules are approximately 80 nucleotides in length. Their secondary structure includes four short double-helical elements and three loops (D, anti-codon, and T loops). Further hydrogen bonds mediate the characteristic L-shaped molecular structure. tRNAs have two regions of fundamental functional importance: the anti-codon, which is responsible for specific mRNA codon recognition, and the 3' end, to which the tRNAs corresponding amino acid is attached (by aminoacyl-tRNA synthetases). tRNAs cope with the degeneracy of the genetic code in two manners: having more than one tRNA (with a specific anti-codon) for a particular amino acid; and 'wobble' base-pairing, i.e. permitting non-standard base-pairing at the 3rd anti-codon position. Lineage: Archaea; Nanobdellati; Candidatus Woesearchaeota. The record is from RNAcentral.